GGCGGGCAUUCGCUGGAGAGAUUUCUCUCUAGAGGAAAGUCCGGGCACCGCAGAGCAAAGCCCCGGUUGAAAAACCGGAAUGCGGGGGGCAAACCCCCGUGUAUGAACAGUGCCGCAGAAAACAAACCGCCUACGGGCAAGGGUGAAAAGGCGGGGUAAGAGCCCACCGCCGCGAGAGCAAUCGAGCGGGCAUGGAAAACUCGGCUUGGUGCAAGACAAUGUAUGACGUCUCGGGCUGCUCGUCCUUAUGGCGUCGGGUGUGUCGCGCCCCCGAAAGGGGGGAUCCCUUCGGGAAUCAGAUAAAUGAAUGCCGCUUUGCGCGGGCAUAUGCCCGCGCAAAGCACAGAACCCGGCUUACAGCCG
Molecule: RNase P RNA, 363 nt
Filed under: human gut metagenome
Description: Bacterial RNase P class A
Rfam family: Bacterial RNase P class A
About the family: Ribonuclease P (RNase P) is a ubiquitous endoribonuclease, found in archaea, bacteria and eukarya as well as chloroplasts and mitochondria.
Source: RNAcentral